UGGGGAAUCUUGGACAAUGGGCGCAAGCCUGAUCCAGCCAUGCCGCGUGGAUGAUGAAGGCCUUAGGGUUGUAAAAUCCUUUCGUGGGGGACGAUAAUGACGGUACCCCAAGAAGAAGCUCCGGCUAACUUCGUGCCAGCAGCCGCGGUAAUACGAAGGGGGCUAGCGUUGUUCGGAUUUACUGGGCGUAAAGCGCGUGUAGGCGGGUCGUUAAGUUGGGGGUGAAAUCCCGAGGCUCAACCUCGGAACUGCCAUCAAAACUGGCGACCUGGACUCAAGCAGAGGCAAGUGGAAUUGCGAGUGUAGAGGUGAAAUUCGUAGAUAUUGGGAAGAACACCAGUGGCGAAGGCGGCUAACUGGUCCGGUACUGACGCUGAGGUGCGAAAGCGUGGGGAGCAAACAGGAUUAGAUACCCUUGUAGUCCCUGAGCGGGCUGGCAAGGCGCAU
Molecule: ribosomal RNA, 447 nt
Filed under: uncultured bacterium
Lineage: Bacteria
Description: bacterial SSU rRNA
Rfam family: Bacterial small subunit ribosomal RNA
Source: RNAcentral